This 69-nucleotide transfer RNA is filed under the name Microcaecilia dermatophaga (tiny white caecilian). RNAcentral describes it as "tRNA-Val". The record is from RNAcentral. Lineage: Eukaryota; Metazoa; Chordata; Amphibia; Gymnophiona; Siphonopidae.
CAAAAUGUAGUUUAACUAAAACAUUUCGUUUACACCAAAAAUAAUCUUGUUUAAACCAAGACAUUUUGA